UACCCGCUCCCGGAGUGGUGGAGACUUUUACUGGGCCUAAAGCGCCCGUAGCCGGCCCUGUGUGUCCCUCGUUAAAUCCGCAGGCUUAACCUGCGGGCUGCGGGGGAUACUGCAGGGCUUGGGGGUGGGAGAGGCGCUCGGUAUUCCCGGGGUAGGGGUAAAAUCCACUGAUCCCGGGAGGACCACCAGUGGCGAAGGCGGAGCGCCAGAACACGCCCGACGGUGAGGGGCGAAAGCUGGGGGAGCAAACGGG
RNAcentral lists this ribosomal RNA (253 nucleotides) under uncultured archaeon. Its description in RNAcentral is "partial 16S ribosomal RNA". It matches the Rfam family "Archaeal small subunit ribosomal RNA", at positions 474 to 727 of the family's 1478-position model. The record is from RNAcentral.